RNAcentral lists this ribosomal RNA (245 nucleotides) under uncultured bacterium. RNAcentral's name for it is "partial 16S ribosomal RNA". It matches the Rfam family "Bacterial small subunit ribosomal RNA", at positions 524 to 768 of the family's 1533-position model. The record is from RNAcentral.
GACAGAGGCCCCGAGCGUUAAUCGGAAUCACUGGGCUUAAAGGGUGCGUAGGCCGGCCCGCAAGUGCUUUGUGAAAUCCCCCGGCUCAACCGGGGAACAGCGGGGCAUACUGCGGGUCUUGAGGAAGGUAGGGGCUGCCGGAACUGUAGGUGGAGCGGUGAAAUGCGUAGAUAUCUACAGGAACGCCGAUGGUGAAGACGGGCAGCUGGGCCUUUCCUGACGCUGAGGCACGAAAGCGUGGGGAG